This 278-nucleotide non-coding RNA is filed under the name Selaginella moellendorffii. RNAcentral's name for it is "Eukaryotic large subunit ribosomal RNA". It matches the Rfam family "Eukaryotic large subunit ribosomal RNA", at positions 675 to 954 of the family's 3401-position model. Lineage: Eukaryota; Viridiplantae; Streptophyta; Lycopodiopsida; Selaginellales; Selaginellaceae. The record is from Rfam by way of RNAcentral.
CUAACAUGUAUGCGAGUCUGUGGGUGCUAAACCCGUACAGGCGAAAGGAAGCUAAUUCGUGGGAUCCCCUUCGGGGGUGCACCACGGACCGACCCUGAUCUUUUGAGAAGGGUUUGAGUGUUAGCAUACCUGCUGGGACCCGAAAGAUGGUGAACUAUGCCUGAGCAGGGCGAAGCCAGAGGAAACUCUGGUGGAGGCUCGUAGCGAUACUGACGUGCAAAUCGUUCGUAAGACUUGGGUAUAGGGGCGAAAGACUAAUCGAACCAUCUAGUAGCUGG